CCUACGGGUGGCAGCAGUGAGGAAUAUUGGUCAAUGGACGAGAGUCUGAACCAGCCAAGUAGCGUGAAGGAUGACUGCCCUAUGGGUUGUAAACUUCUUUUAUAUGGGAAUAAAAUGUUCCACGUGUGGGAUUUUGUAUGUACCAUCUGAAUAAGGAUCGGCUAACUCCGUGCCAGCAGCCGCGGUAAUACGGAGGAUCCGAGCGUUAUCCGGAUUUAUUGGGUUUAAAGGGAGCGUAGGUGGAUUGUUAAGUCAGUUGUGAAAGUUUGCGGCUCAACCGUAAAAUUGCAGUUGAAACUGGCAGUCUUGAGUACAGUAGAGGUGGGCGGAAUUCGUGGUGUAGCGGUGAAAUGCUUAGAUAUCACGAAGAACUCCGAUUGCGAAGGCAGUUCACUGGACUGCAACUGACACUGAGGCUCGAAAGUGUGGGUAUCAAACAGGAUUAGAUACCCGAGUAGUC
RNAcentral lists this ribosomal RNA (460 nucleotides) under uncultured bacterium. Its description in RNAcentral is "partial 16S ribosomal RNA". It matches the Rfam family "Bacterial small subunit ribosomal RNA", at positions 338 to 795 of the family's 1533-position model. The record is from RNAcentral.